CUAUGUUUAUCCUUGGAUUGUGAAAUUGGAUACAAUACAAGCUAUGGAUUUAGUAAGAUGCUGUGAUUGUGGAUGCGAUUGCUCUCUCAACGCUUCGUGGAUUCGAUCCGUCAAGAGAAAACACGAGGAGCUCGAGAACUACAUACCUGAGCUUGACUUGGACUCGUCUUCUUCCAACGCGAAAGUCCAAAUCGAGAACGAAUGCGAGCUCCUGCGCGAAACCGUCACCUCUCAGCAGGAAUCGAUUCAAGAGCUCUACGCCGAGCUCGACGAGGAGAGAAACGCGGCUUCCACGGCUGCGAACGAGGCGAUGUCUAUGAUACUGAAGCUGCAGAGGGACAAGGCUGAGAUUCAGAUGGAGCUGAGGCAGUUUAAGCGGUUUGCGGAGGAGAAGAUGGAGCAUGAUCAGCAGGAGCUUUUGGCUCUUGAGGAUUUGGUUUAUAAGAGGGAGCAGACUGUUCAGGCGCUUGUUUGUGAGGCUCAGGGUUAUAAGCAUAGGAUGAUGAGUUAUGGGGUUGAUGAGUCUGAGUUUGAUGGGGAGAGGAAUGAGUUUGAGUAUGACCUCCCUGCUUAUGAUUAUCCUCCUCUUAAGUGUAGUUUGAAUGAGAAUCCAGAUCUGGAGGCUGAUGUUGAGGAUGUUGAAAAGUACGCACUGACUGAUUCUUCACCUCAUGGUAGAGAAGAUUUGAAGAGUUUGGAACAGAGGAUAAGUCAGAUGGAGAGCUUUACUCCGCCUCAUGGUGAUGUAUCCGGAGGAGGGAGAACUUAUUUGGAGAAGGAGGUGGUUGGUCAGAGUCCUAGGCGUCAGAGACAUCUCAGGGGGGUCUCCACCGGUAGUUCAGGUUCACUAUUGGGAACAAGCAAGGAUCAAGGGCCUGGCUUGUAUGCAGAGGGUAAGGGUGACUUAUCAGAGACGGGAGAUAAUGAGAUGGAUGAUAGAGUCUAUACCAUUGAUUCUAUCCAUCACAGUGUAUCUCAGAGUGAUGUUUCUGAGCAGAAGUUUAAGGAUGAUGGCUAUGGAGAUAAAUUGAACCAGCCUGAUGAUCAUAGUGAUCCUGGGAUAACGAAGCUCUACGCGAGGCUUCAAGCACUGGAGGCUGACAGGGAAUCGAUGAGACAGGCGAUUGUGUCUAUGAGGACUGAGAAAGCUCAAAUGGUUCUUUUGAAAGAGAUUGCGCAACAUCUAUCGAAGGAUAUUAUUCCUGAACGGAGAUUGCCUCUGCAGAAAGCGUCUACUGUUGGAGCAUUCAGUUUCAUAUCUCUCUUUAAGGUGAUUUUUUUUCGUAUGCCAAUCAAUGUGUUGUUGUCUUUAAGAAGCAGGUUGUGCUAAUUAUAGUUUACUCCUUAGCUGAUUCUUGUGAUUGUUCCUUGUGCAGUGGAUUACAUCUUUUCUUUUCUGGAGAAAGAGGGCUCGUAGAAGCAAGUAAGCAACACACAGUCUUGAACUUUGAUUAGCUUUUUGCUUCACCUGAGUUUUGAGAUUUGAAGUUGUAUACUUAUGCAAGCAUCCUUGUGUUCAAAAUGGUUAAAUGCAGGUACAUGAACGGGAUGCAAGGGAGCACGAUGGGGUUGCAAAUGCUUCUAGAGAAGACUCCACGGAUACGGCAAUGGAGAUGUCUUUCAAGAACGCAAGUGUGAAACAACAUAUCACAUUCUCCAACUGGUGAAUCUGAAGGCUCUUAAUGUGAAUAUACUGGGAGUAACAUCACUCUCCCAUCAUCAUUCAUAUGGUUGCUGAGAAAAAAAAAAUGUUUUUCUCUGUGUGCAGUUUCUUUCUUUAUUUUGCAUUUGCCAUAUAUAUAUUUCAUUUGUUGUUUGGGGUUUGAAUGGGGUUUGAUUAUUGUCUAAAAGCUUGUUUUUUUUAUACAGUAAGCUGUGUAUAAUUUUCCCACAUUCUUGUUUGGGUUUUCUCUGGCAAAGAAUACAAAACUUCCGGUGAUCGGAACUUGGUGUUGUAUUGAAUGUACUCAAAAGUUAUCGAUCCUUUAAACGAAGCUACCAUCAAUCAAAGUUUAUUUCUGUUUUUGUUUUUCAAGGUCUAAUUGAUUAAUCAACAUCUAAUCAAUUUCGGUUUAACCGGUUCGACCCAAAGAGAUUGCCCAAUCGAAUUUUCUUAUUCCGGUUUAGUAGUCACUCGUUAAAACCCAAAACCCUCGCCGCAUAAGCUGAUUGAAGCUCCGUCACAAGAUGCCGAACUCGCUUCUAGCCUCCAGUCUCCGUAACCGGCGGCGCAGAUCCAAAUCCAAAAGACAAAAGCUCAUUCAGAAUCAACCUCCGUCUCAAGAGACGGCACUAACAGAGGAGGAAGAGGAAGAAGAAGAAGAUGAAGGAAACGGGUUCAAGCUCAAAACUUCAGCAAAGCACGGAGUCCAACCUCUCGGAAACCUCUACUUCGUCAACAAGGGCGCCGUCAACGUGCGAAACACUGGUCUAGGCAACCUCCAGGUCCUCACCGACGAGCUCGUUCUAGAAAUCCUAGCUCUCCUCGACGCGGCUCAUCUCGGCGUUUUAUCCACCGUCACCAAAUCCUUCUACGUAUUCGCUAACCACGAGCCUCUCUGGAGAAACCUCGUCUUGGAAGAGCUAAAAGGAGACUUUUUGUUCGCCGGGUCGUGGAAAGCCACCUACGUAGCGUCUCGUUAUCCAAAGUCGCAGCCUUUUGGAGGAGAUGGCGAAUCGGUUUUGAAGAUUAGAGAUUUCUAUUCUGAUUACCUCUUCCAGAGCUGGCUAUGCGCGAAUCUCGAGAUGAAGCGGGAGUGGCUUGAACGGGAUAACAUCUCCCGUGUGAGAGGCCUUUCCGUUGAGGAGUUUAUUACUAACUUCGAGGAGCCGAAUAAGCCUGUUCUGUUGGAAGGGUGUUUGGACGACUGGGGUGCGGUUAAGAAAUGGACUAAAGAGUAUCUGAGUGACGUGGCUGGUGACGUGGAGUUCGCUGUUGGUCCGGUUGAGAUGAAGCUCGAGAACUAUUUUAAGUACUCUGACGGAGUUAGCGAGGAGAGGCCGUUGUACUUGUUUGAUCCCAAGUUUGCUGAGAAAGUUCCCGUUUUGGACUCGGAGUAUGAGGCUCCUGUCUAUUUUAGGGAAGAUUUGUUUAGUGUUUUGGGAAACGAGCGGCCUGAUUAUAGAUGGAUUAUAAUCGGACCGUCCGGGUCUGGUUCUUCUUUCCAUAUUGAUCCUAACUCGACCUCUGCUUGGAACGCGGUGAUCACGGGUUCGAAGAAGUGGGUUUUGUUCCCGCCGGAUGUGGUUCCUCCGGGUGUGCAUCCGAGUCCUGAUGGAGCGGAGGUGGCGUGAAGAAGCAAAACUUGUAUUACGUUUGAUUCCGAAAAUAAAACAAACCAACUCUUGGAACAUUCCUUGUGCUCUAUCUUCUUGUACUUAUCUUUCCAUGUUUUAUAAAAACAUUCCUGCAUUUCUAGCACUUCGUGGCCAGCAAAGUUCAUCACACCCACAACAGAUAGCAAACUUGCAUUCUGGUUCUUGACAAACUUGACAUCACCAACACCUAUCACUCUCAUCAGCCAACCAUAUACAUGACAAGUCUCCAAUCUAUUCCACUUAGCUAGCUUAACGAAGACACCACCCGGUUCCCACACUCUAACACAAAGAGAUAAACCCGAGAGUCCCUUUCCCAUCAACACCUUUUGCAUUCUCCAAUGUUCGCAUGUGACCCUUGAUUAUUAUGGUCAAGUUGUGGCCUGAUUCCAGUCAACUCCUUUCUUUUGAACUUAAAUUUCCAUAUCUUUAGCAUUUUACUCACGAUUUUCUGAUGAUUCUCUCUUCUUCCUCUUAAACACAUUUGAUCAAACAGCUGGUGUGCAACUAAAUCAAUAGCCCCCACUGACUUUUGAGCCAACUUCUCCACCGAAUCCAUAUCUAAAAUGUAUGCUUGUUCAACCUUUGGAGCACUCCAAACACCAACGUCGUAUGAAUCAUUGACUAGAAGCUGUGAGCUACUGUUCUUAAGCAAAGCAGAAAGCAAUUCAUCAACCCUAUGGCUUGGUUCCGUAAGAGAGUUUAAUACCUGAAUCGAAUUUUUUCGGGUUUUAGAAGGGUUUAAGGGUUUCGAGAAAUGGGUAGAUAGAACGCCAUUGUUCAAUCAUCAGAGGAGGAGGAAGUAAAAAAGCUCGCCAGCUGUUACUAAGGACCAUCUCAAAAAACUUCUUAAUUAAGGACAAAUGACUUCUGUUUCUUUGUAAUUUCUGUAUUUUUCAUUUAUUUCUCAACCCAAUAUAGUUUAGGACUCUGUCUAAGGACACCAAUAAAGAUGGUCUAAGUAAUAUGUAUAUUCAUCUUUGUCUUGUUAUAAAAUCACAGUAAUCGAAAAGAUGAGAUAAUUUGGAAAACUCGUUUAAAAAUUACAAAUUUAGUAAUUGGUUAGUACAUGAGGCAGGCAAGAAGAUCAGCUGACCUGUACUUCCCGCAGGUAAAAAAUACACCCCAUCUAAACCAAGAUCUCAUCCGUCCAUCUCAACCAAAAGAAACCAAUCCUCGCCGUUGAUUCACCUUUCUUCCACUCGAAGUUACCAAAAAUAACCUUACUCGUCAUUGUCACGAGACUCCAUGGACGAACAAAAAAAAAACAUAACCUUUUAGGGCUUCAAAAAAAAAAAAAAUCCAGAGGGAAAAACAAAGACCAAUUCUCUCUCUCUCUCUCUAGUCUCUCCUUCUUCUCUUCCGUUUCCACGAUUCUGUUAGAGAUAGAGAGAGAAGAAGAGAUAUUAUUAUUAUUAUUAGCUCAAAAGAAUAGAAGAUAUUUUCCUGGGAAAUUUCAACUUUCUCCCGUUCCUGGUGAUUGAAAAGGUAAGUUUCUCCGCGGCGCUAUCGCUUUAGAUUGAGACGAAUUGACUUUUCUUUACAUGUGCCUUUGCAGAAUUCGAUUCAGCUGGUGAAAUCCCCAAAUUCAAUUUUCAAAUCUCUCUUAAGGAUUUGGUUCGAUUCUUACUAUGUUUAUCCUUGGAUUGUGAAAUUGGAUACAAUACAAGCUAUGGAUUUAGUAAGAUGCUGUGAUUGUGGAUGCGAUUGCUCUCUCAACGCUUCGUGGAUUCGAUCCGUCAAGAGAAAACACGAGGAGCUCGAGAACUACAUACCUGAGCUUGACUUGGACUCGUCUUCUUCCAACGCGAAAGUCCAAAUCGAGAACGAAUGCGAGCUCCUGCGCGAAACCGUCACCUCUCAGCAGGAAUCGAUUCAAGAGCUCUACGCCGAGCUCGACGAGGAGAGAAACGCGGCUUCCACGGCUGCGAACGAGGCGAUGUCUAUGAUACUGAAGCUGCAGAGGGACAAGGCUGAGAUUCAGAUGGAGCUGAGGCAGUUUAAG
RNAcentral lists this long non-coding RNA (5320 nucleotides) under Brassica napus (rape). RNAcentral's name for it is "long non-coding RNA (BNAP_LNC012220)". The record is from RNAcentral. Lineage: Eukaryota; Viridiplantae; Streptophyta; Magnoliopsida; Brassicales; Brassicaceae.